RNAcentral lists this long non-coding RNA (931 nucleotides) under Helianthus annuus (common sunflower). The record is from RNAcentral. Lineage: Eukaryota; Viridiplantae; Streptophyta; Magnoliopsida; Asterales; Asteraceae.
UCCGAAAUCCGAAUACCCCACCCAUUACAUUACCCGACUUGAAUGUUUUGGGUUUUGGAUUGUGGGUUAGCUAGGGUUUCUCCGUUGGCUGGUUCUUGCAAACCAACCGUGAAGUUGAAAUGCCCAAUCCCUGCAUCUAAGAGAACUCAUCUCUCUGAGACUCCUUUCCCCUGCACUGUCUUCUAGUAUAUAUAUUUCUUUCGCAAUCGAAAGACGUACUUAGUUAGUGCUUACAACUACUUCUCCCGAAGAAUCUAUUCUAUCACUUGGAGUCACUAAUGGAUUCUCCACUGCGCCCCUAGUACAUCAAGCAGUUUGGGAAUGUUGGGAGGUCGAAGAGCGGGGAUAUCAGUUCAUGCUGUAUUAUCAGAAUAUGGGUUUGUGGAGAUCGAUCCCGUUUCAAUGUCAUUACACUUUCAUGUCAAAGGGAAUUGGUAUCUCUCUUCUCAUUUUACUACACAAUUUAUAACAUCACUAGCAGUGAUAACACUGUAAUUAUCAAGAUUAAAUUUCAAAACCUGGGAGAGUAUUGCAAGGUUUAUGGGUCUUUGGUUAAUGGAAGGAACCAGAAUGCACUCAGGACGAAGAUAAACUGGUGCCGGUCUUGAACAUGAUGUGGGACUGUGGGCUACCCAAAAAUGAAGCUUUGGAGAAAAAUGAAAGAUGGUCUUGCAUUGCGCCUGCUUAUUGAUGCGGCUACCGACUGAACUGAAACUCAAGAUCUUGGAGUCGGUUUCUUGUGUUUGCUCAGAGUUGAGAUUCUUGGCCUCGAGCGAUGAUCUGGGGAAACAGAUGCACAUCAAGCAGUUUGGGAAUGUUUGCUCAAGCUUGGUGAAGUUGGGGAUUGUUUCAGUUAUUUAUUUUAAAUAUUUGGAUGAUUGUUAAAUUGUAUUUAAAUAUUUGGGUUUAUAUCUAUCAUUUGUUAUGUAUU